RNAcentral lists this long non-coding RNA (952 nucleotides) under Marmota monax (woodchuck). Lineage: Eukaryota; Metazoa; Chordata; Mammalia; Rodentia; Sciuridae. The record is from RNAcentral.
GGAGAGAGGAGGGGAAAUAGCAUGGAUGGUGAAAGGAGACCCUCAUCAUUACACAAAAUACAUGUAUGAAGAUGUGAAUGUGGUGUCACUAUACCUUAUAUAUAAUCAGAGAUAUGAUAAAUUGUGACUUACUGAUUCUUAUAGAGAAAAAGAGAAAGGCCCAACAUACAGGGGGAAAAUUACAUUACAACUAGAGUUCCUUGGGAGAAGAUCUGCAGAAGCCGAAAAUGUUUUGUAAUAUAUUUUCCCUUAAAUAGAAAUAGAGAGUGAAAUUUAUAUCCAAAUGUAAAUUAGUAAGUUUUUGUAAACAACCCAACAGUUAUUGCUACAUGAUCCAUGUUUAUUUUUAAACACAAGCAAAAAAAAAAAAAAAAGAACUUCUAAAGCAUUGAACCUGUCUAUAAGUAGUGAGCCUGGGAGUAAAUUGUCAUAUUUUAGAAAGAAAAUUUUGACCUUUUAAAAAAUAAAACCUAUAUUGAAGUGUCACAAGCAUGAUUUUUUUUAAAGAUAGUUUUGGAUUUUCUAUAGCAACAGUGGCCUACAAAUAUCAUCCCCUAAAAUAAAUUGAGAUUCCACAAGAGGCUAGGGGGAAAAGUGGAGAUUAAUAUUGCCCUUAAUAACUUUUCUCAAAAUAAGUUUUAACAAGUAGCUUUAAAAUAAUUUUUAAAAUAACUGGUUUAUAUCUAAAAGGAAAUAACUUUUAUAAUAAUAACAUGUUGUAGAUACACAGAGUAUAUUAUAUGGAGGUCAUGAUUAAAAGUGGAGUGUGGAAUUCUAUAGAUUUGGUACAACAUGCAUUGUUGCUGAUGCUUCCUGUACUUUUGUAAGCAUAUGGCAUGGGUCAGUUUUAAGUCCAUUCUCUAUUAAAAAUAUAUAAUAAUUUUAAUAUCUACCAUUAUUGAACACUAAUUAUGUAUUAGAAACCAUGUGACACAAACUGCAUUUAUUUAAU